Molecule: ribosomal RNA, 775 nt
Filed under: uncultured Neocallimastigales
Lineage: Eukaryota; Fungi; Neocallimastigomycota; Neocallimastigomycetes; Neocallimastigales
Description: partial large subunit ribosomal RNA
Rfam family: Eukaryotic large subunit ribosomal RNA
Source: RNAcentral
GUACUAGAGUAGCACUCGCAUAUCAAUAAGCGGAGGAAAAGAAACUAACAAGGAUUCCCCUAGUAACGGCGAGUGAAGCGGGAAGAGCUCAAAUUUGAAAUCUUAAAGGGUUUCCCUUUACGAAUUGUAGUUUAAAGAAGUGUUUUCUGUUGAGGUUUUGGUAAAAGUUCUUUGGAAUAGGACAUCAUAGAGGGUGAGAAUCCCGUAUUUGACCUUUACUUUCAACUUUGUGAUACACUUUCAAAGAGUCGGAUUGUUUGGGAAUGCAGUCCAAAAUGGGUGGUAAAUUUCAUCUAAAGCUAAAUAUUGGCGAGAGACCGAUAGCGAACAAGUACCGUGAGGGAAAGAUGAAAAGAACUUUGAAAAGAGAGUUAAACAGUACGUGAAAUUGUCAAAAGGGAAGCGUUUGACACCAGUGUUGUUUUUCUGAAAAUCAAUUAAAGAACUGUUUAUGCUAAGCUGUUUAGACUUUAUCAGCUAUCUGUUUAGUUUUGAGCUUUUCUUUAAUGCACUUUUCAGUUAACAAGUCAACAUCAAUUUCUUUUGCUGUAAAAAAGCUUGAGGAAGGUGGCUUGAGAUUCGUCUUAAGUGUUUAUAGCCUCUUGCCUAUGCAGUCGGAGAGAUUGAGGUCUGCAGCGUAGAUCCUUCGGGGCUAAAUGCAUUUGUGCUAAGUUAUAGCAUUUUAUAGACAACUUGUUGACUAUGAUUUGUCUUGUAGCUUACUCGCUUAUGUUAUUUUACCUACGCUUAGGAUGUUGAGCGCAUGUCUCUCUCU